GACGAACGCUGGCGGCGUGCUUAACACAUGCAAGUCGAACGGAAAGGCCCUGCUUGCAGGGUACUCGAGUGGCGAACGGGUGAGUAACACGUGGGUGAUCUGCCCUGCACUUCGGUAUAAGCCUGGGAAACUGGGUCUAAUACCGGAUAGGAGCCAUUUUUAGUGUGAUGGUUGGAAAGUUUUUUCGGUGUAGGAUGAGCUCGCGGCCUAUCAGCUUGUUGGUGGGGUAAUGGCCUACCAAGGCGGCGACGGGUAGCCGGCCUGAGAGGGUGGACGGCCACAUUGGGACUGAGAUACGGCCCAGACUCCUACGGGAGGCAGCAGUGGGGAAUAUUGCACAAUGGGCGCAAGCCUGAUGCAGCGACGCCGCGUGGGGGAUGACGGCCUUCGGGUUGUAAACUCCUUUCGCUAGGGACGAAGCUUUUGUGACGGUACCUAGAUAAGAAGCACCGGCUAACUACGUGCCAGCCGCCGCCGUAA
This 480-nucleotide ribosomal RNA is filed under the name uncultured bacterium. RNAcentral describes it as "partial 16S ribosomal RNA". It matches the Rfam family "Bacterial small subunit ribosomal RNA", at positions 28 to 523 of the family's 1533-position model. The record is from RNAcentral.